CGCGGCCUAUCAGCUUGUUGGUGAGGUAACGGCUCACCAAGGCAUCGACGGGUAGCUGGUCUGAGAGGACGAUCAGCCACACUGGGACUGAGACACGGCCCAGACUCCUACGGGAGGCAGCAGGAGGGAAUAUUGCGCAAUGGGCGAAAGCCUGACGCAGCGACGCCGCGUGGGGGAAGAAGGCCUUCGGGUCGUAAACCCCUUUCAGCAGGGACGAAAUUGACGGUACCUGCAGAAGAAGCGCCGGCCAACUACGUGCCAGCAGCCGCGGUAAUACGUAGGGCGCAAGCGUUGUCCGGAAUUAUUGGGCGUAAAGGGCUCGUAGGCGGUUCGGUAAGUCAGAUGUGAAAGGUUGGGGCUCAACCCUAAGACUGCAUUUGAUACUGCCGUGACUAGAGUCCGGUAGAGGAGUGUGGAAUUCCUGGUGUAGCGGUGAAAUGCGCAGAUAUCAGGAGGAACACCGACGGCGAAGGCAGCACUCUGGGCCGGUACUGACGCUGAGGAGCGAAAGCGUGGGUAGCAAACAGGAUUAGAUACCCUGGUAGUCCACGCCGUAAACGUUGGGCACUAGGUGUGGGGCCUUCUAACGGGUUCCGUACCGUAGCUAACGCAUUAAGUGCCCCGCCUGGGGAGUACGG
This 638-nucleotide ribosomal RNA is filed under the name uncultured bacterium. RNAcentral's name for it is "bacterial SSU rRNA". It matches the Rfam family "Bacterial small subunit ribosomal RNA", at positions 232 to 885 of the family's 1533-position model. The record is from RNAcentral.